CAAUAGCGUAUAUUAAAGUUGUUGCGGUUAAAAAGCUCGUAGUUGGAGUUCUGCCAGGUGCCGCCUGUCCGCCCCAGUGGUGAGUACGUGGCGCGCAUUUGGCCCUUUCAAGGGGGGCGUAUCUGCACUUUAUUGUGUGGUGCGGGAUCCUUGACUUUUACUUUGAGGAAAUAGGAGUGUUCCAAGCAGGCUCUCGUCGUGCACAGCUCAGCAUGGAAUAAUAGCAUUGGACCUCGAUUCUAAGCUGUUGGUUGCCAGAAGCGAGGUAAUGAUGAAGAGGGAUAGUUGGGGGCAUUCGUAUUUAACUGUCAGGGGUGAAAUUCUUGGAUUUGUUAAAGACGGACUACUGCGAAAGCAUCUGCCAUGGAUGUUUUCAUUGA
RNAcentral lists this ribosomal RNA (380 nucleotides) under uncultured eukaryote. RNAcentral describes it as "partial 18S ribosomal RNA". It matches the Rfam family "Eukaryotic small subunit ribosomal RNA", at positions 592 to 976 of the family's 1831-position model. The record is from RNAcentral.